Molecule: ribosomal RNA, 202 nt
Filed under: uncultured bacterium
Lineage: Bacteria
Description: partial 16S ribosomal RNA
Rfam family: Bacterial small subunit ribosomal RNA
Source: RNAcentral
UUGAAGGCUGAAAUUCGCCUUCAUGAAGCCGGAAUUGCUAGUAAUGGCAGGUCAGCAUACUGCCGUGAAUACGUUCCCGGGCCUUGUACACACCGCCCGUCACACCAUGAGAGUUGGGAAUACCCGAAGCCUGUGAGCUAACUUUUAGAGGCAGCAGUCGAAGGUAGAAUCAAUGAUUGGGGUGAAGUCGUAACAAGGUAGC